This 263-nucleotide unclassified non-coding RNA is filed under the name plant metagenome. Its description in RNAcentral is "partial contains small subunit ribosomal RNA, internal transcribed spacer 1, and 5.8S ribosomal RNA". The record is from RNAcentral.
UUUCCGUAGGUGAACCUGCGGAAGGAUCAUUAUUGUAUAACCGAGGUGCGAGGGCUGUCGCUGACCCGAAAGGUCGUGCACGCCCGAGUGCCCUCACACGCAUCCAUCUCACCCCUAAGUGCACCACCGCGUGGGUCCCCCUUUGGCUUGUUCGGAGGGGGGCUUACGUUUUCACACAAACUUUGUAUGCAGUGUAGAAUGUAUUUUUUGUUUUUGCGAUCACGCAAUCAAUACAACUUUCAACAACGGAUCUCUUGGCUCUC